This 69-nucleotide transfer RNA is filed under the name Isotomurus maculatus. Its description in RNAcentral is "tRNA-Met". It matches the Rfam family "tRNA". Rfam says of the family: Transfer RNA (tRNA) molecules are approximately 80 nucleotides in length. Their secondary structure includes four short double-helical elements and three loops (D, anti-codon, and T loops). Further hydrogen bonds mediate the characteristic L-shaped molecular structure. tRNAs have two regions of fundamental functional importance: the anti-codon, which is responsible for specific mRNA codon recognition, and the 3' end, to which the tRNAs corresponding amino acid is attached (by aminoacyl-tRNA synthetases). tRNAs cope with the degeneracy of the genetic code in two manners: having more than one tRNA (with a specific anti-codon) for a particular amino acid; and 'wobble' base-pairing, i.e. permitting non-standard base-pairing at the 3rd anti-codon position. The record is from RNAcentral. Lineage: Eukaryota; Metazoa; Arthropoda; Collembola; Entomobryomorpha; Isotomidae.
AAAAAGGUAAGCUAACUAAGCUACCGGGUUCAUACCCCGCCUAUAAGAGUUUCAAUCUCUUCCUUUUUA